AACGAACGCUGGCGGCAGGCCUAACACAUGCAAGUCAAACGGCUCUUCGGAGCAGUGGCGCACGGGUGCGUAACGCGCGGGAAUAUACCCUUAGGUAAGGAAUAACUAUUGGAAACGAUAGCUAAUACCUUAUAAUAUCUUCGGAUCAAAGAUUCAUCGCCUAAGGAUUAGCCCGCGCCUGAUUAGAUUGUUGGUGAGGUAAUGGCUCACCAAGUCUACGAUCAGUAGCUGAUCUGAGAGGAUGAUCAGCCACACUGGAACUGAGACACGGUCCAG
Molecule: ribosomal RNA, 276 nt
Filed under: uncultured bacterium
Lineage: Bacteria
Description: partial 16S ribosomal RNA
Rfam family: Bacterial small subunit ribosomal RNA
Source: RNAcentral